RNAcentral lists this ribosomal RNA (377 nucleotides) under uncultured bacterium. RNAcentral's name for it is "bacterial SSU rRNA". It matches the Rfam family "Bacterial small subunit ribosomal RNA", at positions 521 to 896 of the family's 1533-position model. The record is from RNAcentral.
UAAGACGGAGGUCCCAAGCGUUGUUCGGAAUCACUGGGCUUAAAGCGCGUGUAGGCGGAGUGGCAAGUACCUUGUGAAAUCCCCGGCCUCAAUCCGGGAACUGCUCGGUAUACUGCUAUUCUUGAGGCAGGUAGGGGUCACUGGAACCUUAGGUGGAGCGGUGAAAUGCGUAGAUAUCUAAGGGAACGCCUGUGGCGAAAGCGGGUGACUGGGCCUGUCCUGACGCUGAGACGCGAAAGCGUAGGGAGCAAACGGGAUUAGAUACCCCGGUAGUCUACGCCGUAAACGAUGCGCACUAGGUUCGAGAGCCACUGACGGCGCUCGUGCCGAAACAAAAGCGAUAAGUGCGCCGCCUGGGGAGUACGGCCGCAAGGCUA